GAGUAAUGCGUGACCGACCUGCCCCAUACACCGGAAUAGCUCCUGGAAACGGGUGGUAAUGCCGGAUGCUCCGACUCCUCGCAUGGGGUGUCAGGAAAGAUUUCAUCGGUAUGGGAUGGGGUCGCGUCCUAUCAGGUAGUCGGCGGGGUAACGGCCCACCGAGCCUACGACGGGUAGCCGGCCUGAGAGGGCGACCGGCCACAUUGGGACUGAGAUACGGCCCACACUCCUACGGGAGGCAGCAGUGGGGAGUAUUGCACAAUGGGCGCAAGCCUGAUGCAGCGACGCCGCGUGCGGGAUGACGGCCUUCGGGUUGUAAACCGCUUUUGAUCGGGAGCAAGCCUUCGGGUGAGUGUACCUUUCGAAUAAGCACCGGCUAACUACGUGCCAGCAGCCGCGGUAAUACGUAGGGUGCAAGCGUUAUCCGGAAUUAUUGGGCGUAAAGGGCUCGUAGGCGGUUCGUCGCGUCCGGUGUGAAAGUCCAUCGCUUAACGGUGGAUCUGCGCCGGGUACGGGCGGGCUGGAGUGCGGUAGGGGAGACUGGAAUUCCCGGUGUAACGGUGGAAUGUGUAGAUAUCGGGAAGAACACCAAUGGCGAAGGCAGGUCUCUGGGCCGUUACUGACGCUGAGGAGCGAAAGCGUGGGGAGCGAACAGGAUUUAGAUACCCUGGUAGUCCACGCUGUAAACGGUGGAUGCUGGAUGUGGGGCCCGUUCCACGGGUUCCGUGUCGGAGCUAACGCGUUAAGCAUCCCGCCUGGGGAGUACGGCCGCAAGGCUAAAACUCAAAGAAAUUGACGGGGGCCCGCACAAGCGGCGGAGCAUGCGGAUUAAUUCGAUGCAACGCGAAGAACCUUACCUGGGCUUGACAUGUUCCCGACAGCCGUAGAGAUAUGGCCUCCCUUCGGGGCGGGUUCACAGGUGGUGCAUGGUCGUCGUCAGCUCGUGUCGUGAGAUGUUGGGUUAAGUCCCGCAACGAGCGCAACCCUCGCCCUGUGUUGCCAGCACGUCAUGGUGGGAACUCACGGGGGACCGCCGGGGUCAACUCGGAGGAAGGUGGGGAUGACGUCAGAUCAUCAUGCCCCUUACGUCCAGGGCUUCACGCAUGCUACAAUGGCCGGUACAACGGGAUGCGACACGGCGACGUGGAGCGGAUCCCUGAAAACCGGUCUCAGUUCGGAUUGGAGUCUGCAACCCGACUCCAUGAAGGCGGAGUCGCUAGUAAUCGCGGAUCAGCAACGCCGCGGUGAAUGCGUUCCCGGGCCUUGUACA
This 1270-nucleotide ribosomal RNA is filed under the name uncultured bacterium. Its description in RNAcentral is "bacterial SSU rRNA". It matches the Rfam family "Bacterial small subunit ribosomal RNA", at positions 108 to 1387 of the family's 1533-position model. The record is from RNAcentral.